This 253-nucleotide ribosomal RNA is filed under the name uncultured bacterium. Its description in RNAcentral is "partial 16S ribosomal RNA". It matches the Rfam family "Bacterial small subunit ribosomal RNA", at positions 524 to 776 of the family's 1533-position model. The record is from RNAcentral.
UACGUAGGGGGCAAGCGUUGUCCGGAAUCAUUGGGCGUAAAGCGCGUGUAGGCGGUCCAGUAAGUCUGCUGUGAAAGUCCAGGGCUCAACCCUGGGAUGCCGGUGGAUACUGCUGGGCUAGAGUACGGAAGAGGCGAGUGGAAUUCCCGGUGUAGCGGUGAAAUGCGCAGAUAUCGGGAGGAACACCAAUUGCGAAGGCAGCUCGCUGGGACGUCACUGACGCUGAGACGCGAAAGCGUGGGGAGCAAACAGG